Molecule: ribosomal RNA, 472 nt
Filed under: uncultured bacterium
Lineage: Bacteria
Description: bacterial SSU rRNA
Rfam family: Bacterial small subunit ribosomal RNA
Source: RNAcentral
CCCCAGACUCCUACGGGAGGCAGCAGUUAGGAAUAUUCGUCAAUGGGGGAAACCCUGAACGAGCAAUGCCGCGUGAACGAUGACGGUCCUCUGGAUUGUAAAGUUCUGUUGUUUGGGAAGAACGGCUCUAAUAGGAAAUGAUUAGAGAUUGACUGUACCAUUCAAGAAAGCCACGGCUAACUACGUGCCAGCAGCCGCGGUAAUACGUAGGGUGCGAGCGUUAAUCGGAAUUACUGGGCGUAAAGGGUGUGCAGGCGGCUGAGUAAGACAGAUGUGAAAUCCCCGGGCUUAACCUGGGAACCGCAUAUGUGACUGCUUGGCUAGAGUGCGUCAGAGGGAGGUGGAAUUCCACGUGUAGCAGUGAAAUGCGUAGAUAUGUGGAAGAACACCGAUGGCGAAGGCAGCCUCCUGGGACGCAACUGACGCUCAUACACGAAAGCGUGGGGAGCAAGCAGGAUUAGAUACCCCGGUA